RNAcentral lists this long non-coding RNA (354 nucleotides) under Camelus dromedarius (Arabian camel). RNAcentral describes it as "lncRNA (ENSCDRG00005018279.1)". Lineage: Eukaryota; Metazoa; Chordata; Mammalia; Artiodactyla; Camelidae. The record is from RNAcentral.
AUCUGUCAGGCCGUGGUCGUGGCCGCUUCAGACUGCUGUACCUUAGUGGCUUUGCUUUACAAUGAUGGAAUUCUAAAUUUAAGACUAAAUUUUUGCCCCCAAAGGUAAACGAGGUGAAAGUUUUUGCUUAGUAUUUUACUUGACAUGAGAACUGAUUAUAUAAGGAAACUGACACCUGCAGGUGGCAGCCUGGUCUUGUGUCUGGUUAAGAAGAUGACACCGUGCAUGUGUUGCUCUGGAUGUGUAGUGUGUGAAGGACAACAAAGCGUGGAAGAUGGGAUUGCUGGUGAGAAAGGGACUGGGCCUCAGAGGACAGGAAGGAUGCAAAUGCAAGAAGGGGACCAGGCCUGCUGA